RNAcentral lists this long non-coding RNA (1680 nucleotides) under Strigops habroptila (Kakapo). Its description in RNAcentral is "lncRNA (ENSSHBG00005013014.1)". The record is from RNAcentral. Lineage: Eukaryota; Metazoa; Chordata; Aves; Psittaciformes; Psittacidae.
GUCGUUCGGGCGGCGGCGGGUGCGUGCGGGCUGUGUCGGUGAGUUGGUGUCUGCAGGGGCUGCCUUCCUCCAGCUCCCCUUUCCCCCGCAGCCCCCUGCUCCCCCCGGGGCUGCUCCCCGCCGCGCGGGGUGGCUCCGGCCCUGCGGAGGGCAGGCGGCAUGCGGCUGGGGUCGAGCGCCAUGGCUGAGGAGGCGCGCGGCCUUCCGCCUGCUCUCUGCCCGCGGCCCGCCGGGCCUUGCCUCCCGCCGGCCCAGCACCGGGCCGAGCCCCGCGGUGUGCCCGUCAUACGGGGGAGACAUAGCGGGAAAGGGCACGUAGAGAUAGAAGAAGGGGAAUGGCGUUCGGCUGAAAAAGGGUAGAUUAGUAGCCUGGAGAAGAGAAGGCUGCGUGGAGACCUCAGCAGCCUGCCAGUGUCUGAUGGGGGCCUAUAAGGAUGCUGGAGACGCUUCGUCAGGAUUAGCGAUAGGACAAGGGGUAAUGGGUUCAAACUUAAACAAGGGGAGUUCAGGUUAGAUAUAAGGAAGAAGUUUUUUACUGUGAGGGUGGUGAGGCUCUGGAACAGUUGCUCAAAGACGUGGCAAGUGGCAAAUGCUCCAUCCCUGGCAGUGUUCAAGGCCAGGUUGGACAGAGCCUUGGGCGACAUGGUCUAGUGUGAGGUGUCCGGCUGGAACUACAUGAUCUUUAAGGCCUCUUCCAGCCCAAACUGUUCUAUGAUUCUGUGAUGAUUCUGUCAUAAACAGCCAUGCCCUUCAGCUGCCAUCACACCCGGACUCUCCCUGCGCCACGCACACAGGAGUGCCCAUGCGAGGCCCCCAUGGGUGCAGAUGCUGAGCUGCGCUUAAUGCUGUAACGUUUGACUUCAUGUAACCCGAACCCUGUUGCUUUUGGUCUAUUGUUGUAGUUCCUCUAGGUGCCGAAAAACAUCUACUUUCCUGACAGAAUGGUGGUUUAUAAAGAUAAUCGCCAUCUUGAGUAGUUCAUGGGGAUGAUUACCAAGUGAGAGGCUAUCUUUCAGAUUUCAGUGAGCUGGGGAAGCAUGGAUGUACUGGACUCUAUUAGAGCAAGACCUUCCACUUAGGGUGGGGUUUUUCUCCCACCACCGCGUGGUGGAAGCUUGGAAAUCGUACAACCGAUUGACAUAUAUCAUCUGAAUAUACCUGCCUGCUGGUGUCCCACUGCCCUGCCUUUCAACCUUACGCAACAGCUCUCUGAAGCUGAGGUUUCAGCUUCAUCAUCAGCUUUCAGGUCAGUUAGUUAGUACAUUGACCAGGAGUCAGAGUAAGUUUAACAUUAGAAACUUAAGUUUUCCAGCUUCUCCCAGCAGGCACUAGCCUACUUUUUGAGGUCUCAUCACCAGGUGUAAUAUCCUGCAUUUUGCACAAAAUUCCUCAAAUCUGAAUUGUAGAAGCUACUUCUCCUGUUAGGAGCUCAAGAUGAAAAUUUGAUGCUCCUUGUUAUUGUUGAGGGAAGAUGAGUAGAAAAUUUCAGUAUGCCACAGUUUAGCUCAUCAUAAGUAUAACUAAGCUAAUUUUUACUAACAUUAAGGAAUUUAGCACCAGGGAGAGUUAUUUAACAUAUUAUUCUAAGGCUGAAAUCAGUAGCUGAUGUUGCAUCAUACACACUGGCCAGAAAACCAAUGUAAUCAUGUUAUUUUGAGUAGCAGUUGAUUUGCAUGUCUA